Molecule: ribosomal RNA, 255 nt
Filed under: Escherichia coli
Lineage: Bacteria; Pseudomonadati; Pseudomonadota; Gammaproteobacteria; Enterobacterales; Enterobacteriaceae
Description: partial 23S ribosomal RNA
Rfam family: Bacterial large subunit ribosomal RNA
Source: RNAcentral
GAGGACCGAACCGACUAAUGUUGAAAAAUUAGCGGAUGACUUGUGGCUGGGGGUGAAAGGCCAAUCAAACCGGGAGAUAGCUGGUUCUCCCCGAAAGCUAUUUAGGUAGCGCCUCGUGAAUUCAUCUCCGGGGGUAGAGCACUGUUUCGGCAAGGGGGUCAUCCCGACUUACCAACCCGAUGCAAACUGCGAAUACCGGAGAAUGUUAUCACGGGAGACACACGGCGGGUGCUAACGUCCGUCGUGAAGAGGGAA